AUGCGGCGCAUUAGCUAGACGGCGGGGUGACGGCCCACCGUGGCGACGAUGCGUAGGGGUUCUGAGAGGAAGGCCCCCCACACUGGGACUGAGACACGGCCCAGACUCCUACGGGAGGCAGCAGUGAGGAAUAUUGGUCAAUGGGCGGAAGCCUGAACCAGCCAAGUCGCGUGAGGGAUUAAGGCCCUGCGGGUCGUAAACCUCUUUUGCCGGGGAGCAGUGGUCCGGACGCGUCCGGGCCGGGAGAGUACCCGGAGAAAAAGCAUCGGCUAACUCCGUGCCAGCAGCCGCGGUAAUACGGAGGAUGCGAGCGUUAUCCGGAUUUAUUGGGUUUAAAGGGUGCGUAGGCGGGCAUUUAAGCCGGCGGUCAAAUGUCGGGGCUCAACCCCGGCCUGCCGUCGGAACUGGGUGCCUUGAGUGGGCGAGAAGUAUGCGGAAUGCGUGGUGUAGCGGUGAAAUGCAUAGAUAUCACGCAGAACCCCGAUUGCGAAGGCAGCAUACCGGCGCCCUACUGACGCUGAGGCACGAAAGUGCGGGUAUCGAACAGGAUUAGAUACCCUGGUAGUCCGCACAGUAAACGAUGGAUGCUAUCUGUCCGGGCCGAAUGAGGCCUGGGUGGC
This 620-nucleotide ribosomal RNA is filed under the name uncultured bacterium. RNAcentral's name for it is "bacterial SSU rRNA". It matches the Rfam family "Bacterial small subunit ribosomal RNA", at positions 231 to 847 of the family's 1533-position model. The record is from RNAcentral.